This 253-nucleotide ribosomal RNA is filed under the name uncultured bacterium. RNAcentral's name for it is "partial 16S ribosomal RNA". It matches the Rfam family "Bacterial small subunit ribosomal RNA", at positions 524 to 776 of the family's 1533-position model. The record is from RNAcentral.
GACAGAGGGUGCAAACGUUGUUCGGAAUUACUGGGCGUAAAGCGAGUGUAGGCGGUGUAGUAAGUCGGAUGUGAAAGCCCCGGGCUCAACCCGGGAAGUGCACUCGAUACUGCCACGCUAGAGUAUCGGAGAGGUUGGUGGAAUUCUCGGUGUAGAGGUGAAAUUCGUAGAUAUCGAGAGGAACACCGGUGGCGAAGGCGGCCAACUGGACGAAUACUGACGCUGAGACUCGAAAGCGUGGGGAGCAAACAGG